RNAcentral lists this ribosomal RNA (594 nucleotides) under Nanocheirodon insignis. RNAcentral describes it as "partial 16S large subunit ribosomal RNA". It matches the Rfam family "Bacterial large subunit ribosomal RNA", at positions 1808 to 2609 of the family's 2925-position model. Lineage: Eukaryota; Metazoa; Chordata; Actinopteri; Characiformes; Characidae. The record is from RNAcentral.
CAAAAACAUCGCCUCCUGCAAAAAUCAAAGUAUAAGAGGUACUACCUGCCCAGUGACGUAAGUUAAACGGCCGCGGUAUUUUGACCGUGCUAAGGUAGCGCAAUCACUUGUCUUUUAAAUGAAGACCUGUAUGAAUGGUGGAACGAGGGCUUAACUGUCUCCCCUUUUAGGUCAGUGAAAUUGAUCUGCCCGUGCAGAAGCGGACAUAAAUAUACAAGACGAGAAGACCCUUUGGAGCUUAAGAUAUAAAGUCAAUUAAAUCAAAUAGUCCUUACAAACAGGAACCAAACAAACUAUACUUCUGACCCACAUCUUUGGUUGGGGCGACCGUGGGGUAAAAAAAAACCCCCACAUAGAAUGGGUUUUAACCUAAAACCACGAGAGACACCUCUAAGCAACAGAACUUCUGACUAAAAGAUCCGGUACUUAACCGAUCAACGGACCAAGUUACCCUAGGGAUAACAGCGCAAUCCCCUCCAAGAGCCCAUAUCGACAAGGGGGUUUACGACCUCGAUGUUGGAUCAGGACAUCCUAAUGGUGCAGCCGCUAUUAAGGGUUCGUUUGUUCAACGAUUAAAGUCCUACGUGAUCUGAG